Scylla paramamosain (green mud crab) is the source of this 2273-nucleotide long non-coding RNA. RefSeq lists it as uncharacterized. The record is from RefSeq and is a predicted model, not a curated record. NCBI's taxonomy places the organism in Eukaryota, Metazoa, Arthropoda, Malacostraca, Decapoda, Portunidae. The transcript has 2 exons.
UCCUCCCAUGUCCUUUACCAUUCACACGCAUUUCACAUAAAAUGUAUGAAAGCCUGAGCUGCGUAUCCAGACAGGCGACUUGGAAGCGGUUUCACAAUAGGAAGAAAUUAGUGUCAUCCUGUGAUGCGUCCCUGUUGCGCCGUGACGUUGAUGAUGGCGAGAAAAAUAGUAAUUUCCCCAAAUAGCCCAGGAAAUGUAAACGCUUGGAGUCUUUCUCCCCCUCUCUCUCUCUCUCUCUCUCUCUCUCUCUCUCUCUCUCUCUCUCUCUCUCUCUCUCUCUCUCUCACACGCACUCAUACCACAGCCCGGACACCUGUCUCGUCUAGUUAUGCAAACUGAGGCCGUGUUCGUGCCUGUUAACAUGUAUUGUUCCGCAUACAACCGACCGUUCUGGCUGACCCGAUGACGAGACAAAAAAAAAAAAAAAAAAUUAUAGCAUUAUCUCUCUCUCCUACUGUCUAUUACUUGUUGAUACCAGAUUCUCUUUUCCUUCCUGAAUUUUCUAGUUUAUCUGUACCCACGGUUCAUUAAAGAAAACACUAUACGAAUAGAAAAGUGACUUUUACUCUGGCAUUUACAAUUAUUUUUUACCAACUUUGGCAGAUAUAGAAAAAAAAUAAGACGGUCAUAAUUAUAACUUAUUCUUGACACAGUGCUAGAAUCUAUGAACACACACUGGUGACGAUGAGAACGUUAUGUGAAGGAGAAACUUCGUAAAACUCACUACUGAAGACCAGGGCAUCAGGAUAAACGCUGAAAAAGUCAUUGCUUAUCGCAUCUUCUUUACUGUCAAGUUUUGCUAUUCAUCAUCCUUGCUGACAAUAAGAAAGCUUAGCACCCCACACCCUUCAGCUCAUCUUGGGAAAAAAAAAAAUCUCCCUUCGACACCCAACUGCGAUGUGGAAAUGUAUAUAAGAGAACGCGAAGAGCCGACACCGCUUCACUAUCAACCUGUCUGGCCCCAGACGAGCCAGCCAGUGCGGAGCAUUCAGAAUGAAACUUAUCCAAUGGGUGGUGGCCCUCCUGCUGGCCCUCACGGCGGCGUUUGCUUAUGCCGAUCCCGCCCCCGAAGCACUUGCCGAUCCUGAGCCAACCAAGGGAGGCGGCAGAGGACGACAGGGCUAUGGUCACAGGACCUACCGACCUGUCAUGAUGGUGCGAGGCUACGGCGGUGGUGGCGGCGGCUUCGGGAAGGGCAAAGGAGGAGGAGGCCUAAGCAAAGGAGGCGGUGGUUUCAGAGGAGGAAAAGGAGGCGGCUACGGAGGAGGAGGAGGAGGAGGAGGCUACGGAGGAGGAGGAAAGGGUAAAGGAGGAGGAGGAGGAGGAGGAGUUCGCUAUAUUAUUAUUAGAGGGGGAGGAGGAGGAGGAGGAGGAGGUAAAGGGAAAGGUGGAAGCUUUGGUGGAGGUGGUAAAGGUGGUGGUAUUCGACUUGGAGGUGGAAAGGGCAAAGGCGGAGGAAGAAGAGGAGGAUACGGAGGAGGAUUUGGAGGUGGGAAAGGUAAGGGUGGAGGACAACGAGGUGGAUAUGGAGGGGGCAAAGGUGGCGGAGGAAAGGGUGGAUUCGGAGGAGGCAAGGGUGGCGGAGGAUUCAGAGGUGGAUUUGGAGGCGGAAAAGGAGGAAGACGCGGAGGUGGAAAGGGGAAGGGUGGAGGAGGUUUCCGGGGUGGGUAUAUGAUGAGCAGCUACGGAAGUCGAGGACACGGGUGGUGAAAGGCUACUGGUUGCCGAGUUGGAGCCUUGCCUUUCCCACCAGAACACUCCUCCAGCCGCUCCAGACCUCCCUCAUUACUCUUACCUCCAGCUCUUAGCAUAUCCUCCAUUCAACGUCUACCUCAUCCGAGUUUCAUUUUCUCAGGGCCUCCUUCACCCGGAAAUGCUCCUCAUCAGAAAUUUUCUCUCCAGUAGGUCCUCACACGUGUCCUUCACCUGUUACUUACUUCCCCCAAUGACUCCUUCACUGAAUGCUUAAUAUAUAUAUAUAUAUAUAUAUAUAUAUAUAUAUAUAUAUAUAUAUAUAUAUAUAUAUAUAUAUAUAUAUAUAUAUAUAUAUAUAUAUAUAUAUAUAUAUAUAUAUAUAUAUAUAUUUACAUAUUUCUUACAUCAUAAGCACUCAUGCACCACAUAGUGAGGCACUCACCACGUGGUGCAUUCCGCCUGUCCUUACCAGCUAGAAGUUGCAAUUCAAAUGCCCACUGUGUUCUGUGUUCUGUGUUUCCAUUAAGUUUUAUGUGUACAAACCCUAUGUUUACAUUAAAUAGUGAUAGUGAAAUGUG